AACGAACGCUGGCGGCGUGCCUAACACAUGCAAGUCGAGCGGAGAUGUUGAAGGUUUACUGGAUACAUCUUAGCGGCGGACGGGUGAGUAACGCGUGGGUAACCUGCCUUGUACAGGGGGAUAACACAGGGAAACUUGUGCUAAUACCGCAUAAUACGAUUGAAUGGCAUCAUUCGAUCGUCAAAGGAGUCAAAUCCCGGUAUGAGAUGGACCCGCGUCCGAUUAGCUAGUUGGAGGUGUAACGGACCACCAAGGCGACGAUCGGUAGCCGAACUGAGAGGUUGAUCGGCCACAUUGGGACUGAGACACGGCCCAGACUCCUACGGGAGGCUG
This 333-nucleotide ribosomal RNA is filed under the name uncultured Bacillota bacterium. RNAcentral's name for it is "bacterial SSU rRNA". It matches the Rfam family "Bacterial small subunit ribosomal RNA", at positions 29 to 351 of the family's 1533-position model. The record is from RNAcentral. Lineage: Bacteria; Bacillati; Bacillota.